This 378-nucleotide unclassified non-coding RNA is filed under the name plant metagenome. RNAcentral's name for it is "partial contains 5.8S ribosomal RNA, internal transcribed spacer 2, and large subunit ribosomal RNA". The stretch from base 1 to 105 matches the Rfam family "5.8S ribosomal RNA", at positions 50 to 154 of the family's 154-position model. The record is from RNAcentral.
GAAAUGCGAUAAGUAAUGUGAAUUGCAGAAUUCAGUGAAUCAUUGAAUCUUUGAACGCACCUUGCGCUCCUUGGUAUUCCUUGGAGCAUGCCUGUUUGAGUAUCAUGAAAUCUUCAAAGUAAAUCUUUUGUUAACUCAAUUGGUUUCUACUUUGGUAUUGGAGGUCUUUGCAGCUUCACACCUGCUCCUCUUUGUUCAUUAGCUGGAUCUCAGUGUUAUGCUUGGUUCCACUCGGCGUGAUAAGUUAUCUAUCGCUGAGGACACUGUAAAAGGUGGUCAAGGUAAAUGCAGAUGAACCGCUUCUAAUAGUCCAUUGACUUGGACAAUACUUUUAUGAUCUGAUCUCAAAUCAGGUAGGACUACCCGCUGAACUUAAGC